Molecule: ribosomal RNA, 498 nt
Filed under: uncultured bacterium
Lineage: Bacteria
Description: bacterial SSU rRNA
Rfam family: Bacterial small subunit ribosomal RNA
Source: RNAcentral
GAUCAUGGCUCAGGAUGAACGCUAGCGGCAGGCUUAACACAUGCAAGUCGAGGGGCAGCGCGAUGUAGCAAUACAUUGGCGGCGACCGGCGCACGGGUGCGUAACACGUAUGGAACUUACCCAUUACUGGGAGAUAGCCCGGAGAAAUCCGGAUUAAUAUCCCAUAAUAAACGAAGUGGCAUCACUUUGUUUUGAAAGCUCCGGCGGUAAAGGAUGGCCAUGCGCACGAUUAGCUAGUAGGUGAGGUAACGGCUCACCUAGGCUACGAUCGUUAGGGGGCCUGAGAGGGUUAUCCCCCACACUGGUACUGAGACACGGACCAGACUCCUACGGGAGGCAGCAGUGAGGAAUAUUGCGCAAUGGAGGCAACUCUGACGCAGCCAUGCCGCGUGCAGGAAGAAGGCGCUACGCGUUGUAAACUGCUUUUAACCGGGAAGAAACCCUCCGACGUGUCGGAGGUUGACGGUACCGGAGGAAUAAGCACCGGCUAACUUCGUG